AUUUAGCUGAUGAGUCUCAAGUAGGACGAAGUGCGCAUCCUGGAU
Molecule: non-coding RNA, 45 nt
Organism: Schistosoma curassoni
Lineage: Eukaryota; Metazoa; Platyhelminthes; Trematoda; Strigeidida; Schistosomatidae
Source: Rfam